This 263-nucleotide ribosomal RNA is filed under the name uncultured bacterium. RNAcentral's name for it is "partial 16S ribosomal RNA". It matches the Rfam family "Bacterial small subunit ribosomal RNA", at positions 524 to 786 of the family's 1533-position model. The record is from RNAcentral.
UACGUAGGGGGCAAGCGUUAUCCGGAAUACUGGGCGUAAAGCGCACGCAGGCGGUUCGCCAAGUUUGGAGUGACAGUUGUCGGCUCAACCGACAAAGGACUUCAAAAACUGGUGAACUUGAGGACGAGAGAGGAACAUGGAACUCCAGGUGGAGUAGUGAAAUGCGUAGAUAUCUGGAAGAACACCAAUGGCGAAGGCAAUGUUCUGGCUCGUUUCUGACGCUCAGGUGCGAAAGCGUGGGGAGCAAACAGGAUUGAGAAACC